CGCGGAUCGAACUCAGGACCUUUCGCUUGCAGUGCAGGCGGCGGAACCACUGAGCUAAAUCCCUGGGGCAACGCCCAGCUUUUUGAGAGUGGUUCUCUCUCUUGCCCAGGUUGGCCUUUCCUGACCUCAAGCAAUCCUCUAGCCACAGCCUCCAGUCAUACCCGUGUAUGGUGGAGGCAAGGGAAGAACCCAGCUCGCUGUUGCGGUGACCGUGACAUGCAGGGCCCUGGUUUGGGGAUGGACACUCCGGGGCACAGGCCGAGCUAUGGGCCAGGGUGCUGUGCCUCUCCUACCCACUCGCUCACGUGGGCCUGGCAGACGGAGCCACUAUACUCCCUAGAGACAAUGCCAAGUGCUUCCUGGGGGACGCUUACCAAGGGUUCCUGUUCCUGCAGGUCUGGCACCCCAGAUCACUGAGCAGGAUGGGGUGACAGGCCCUGGGCAGGUGGAGCAGAGAUGUGUGCCCCUCCUCCAUCAUGGGGUUGAGCAGCAGGGAACCUGGCUUUGUGGCUG
RNAcentral lists this long non-coding RNA (513 nucleotides) under Heterocephalus glaber (naked mole-rat). Its description in RNAcentral is "lncRNA (ENSHGLG00000039042.1)". Lineage: Eukaryota; Metazoa; Chordata; Mammalia; Rodentia; Bathyergidae. The record is from RNAcentral.